Molecule: long non-coding RNA, 396 nt
Organism: Cebus imitator (Panamanian white-faced capuchin)
Lineage: Eukaryota; Metazoa; Chordata; Mammalia; Primates; Cebidae
Exons: 2
Source: RefSeq, a predicted model, not a curated record
CAGCUGUAGGACGGCGUGCGUCUGCGCACCAGCUGGUUUUUCUCGCGGUUUCGCGCACGGCCCCAGGGCUGACAGAUCAUCCUUCCGUGGUAGAUUUUACAUCUUCAGGCCGGGCGCAGUGGCUCACGUCUGUAAUCCCAGCAAUUUGGAGGCCGAGGUGGGCGGAUUACCUGAGGUCAGGAGUUGGAGACCAUCCUGGCCAACAUGGUGAAACCCCGUCUCUACUAAAAAUACAAAAAAAUUACCCGGGCGUGGUGGCGCAUGCUUGUAAUCCCAGCUACUCGGGAUGCUGAGGUAGGAGAAUCGCUUGAAUCCAAGGCGGGGUGGAGGUUGCGUUGAGACGAGAUCGCGCCAUUGCACUCCAUCCUGGCGACAGAGCGAGAGUCCGUCUCAAAA